Molecule: long non-coding RNA, 363 nt
Filed under: Elaeis guineensis (African oil palm)
Lineage: Eukaryota; Viridiplantae; Streptophyta; Magnoliopsida; Arecales; Arecaceae
Description: long non-coding RNA (EGUI_LNC037828)
Source: RNAcentral
CCCUGGCCAAGGUUUUGCUAAAUUGAAAUACAGCGACUCAUUCUUCUCCAACUCUUGGAGUGGUCAAUCCCAUCUCGAUCACACUCUGACUUCGCAAGUACUUGACUGUGCCCAGAAGCCUUCCGUCCCUGAAUUAGAAAUUCAGUUAGUCCAGUACCAAAGCACAGUGAGUUGCUUGCAAGUCACUGAGGCGAUCUCAGAUCUAAGGGACACUUAUACCUAUAUCCCAUCAGAGACAUUCUCGACAGCAGAAUACUCUGGAGAUGGUCACGUUCAAUGACGAUGUACCCUUACAUCUCACCUGUAUGCCAUAUCAGUGUCUCCACACUCCUUAGUUAAGAGGACAACCAACCCAUAUGGCCU